RNAcentral lists this long non-coding RNA (384 nucleotides) under Hordeum vulgare. RNAcentral describes it as "long non-coding RNA (HVUL_LNC018484)". The record is from RNAcentral. Lineage: Eukaryota; Viridiplantae; Streptophyta; Magnoliopsida; Poales; Poaceae.
GCACAGAUAGAUUCUUCCCAGCGAACUCCUCACCGAUGAGGCCAUCUUCUCACUAUACACCUUAUGACAGGGCAAGCUAUGUAACUCCAUCACCCCAGGAACCAGUGAGGAAUGCUUAUUACACGCCACCUUAUGACAGGCCAAACUACGUACCUUCAUCGCUCCAGGAGCCAGUGAGGAAUUCUUCUUAUUACAUGCCACAUUAUGCUCCAUCAACCCAGGAGCCAGUGAGGAAUUCUUAUUACAUGCCACCUUAUGACAGGCCAAAUUACAUACCUCCUUCACCCCAGGAGCCAGCAAGGAAUUCUUCUUAUUACAUGCCACCUUAUGACAGGCAAAGCUAUCCACCUGCUCCACCCCAGGAUCCAAGGAGGACAUCUAAUU